UUUAGUAACCUAUUUACCAUGGCGGCAUUAUUAUCUUAUUAGAGGAACCUGUAUCAUAAUCGAUAAUCCACGAUAAUCUUCACUUUGAUUAAAAAUUUAUAUACCGCCAUCUUAAACUAAUCUAACGAUAAUAUUUUAAAGAAAAAAUAGAAAGUUAGGUCAAGGUGUAAUUUACACUAAAGCGAAAAAUGGGUUACAUUAAAUACCAUUUAAGGAUAUAAUAUAUAAAAACAUAUUUUAAAAGAGGAUUUAAAAGCUACAAUAUAAUAAUAUUUUAUUGUGAUUAAGAUUACAAAUGUGCACACAUCGCCCGGUCGCUC
This 320-nucleotide ribosomal RNA is filed under the name Ovia sp. CAS 9043717. Its description in RNAcentral is "partial 12S ribosomal RNA". Lineage: Eukaryota; Metazoa; Arthropoda; Arachnida; Araneae; Lycosidae. The record is from RNAcentral.